AGCUCCAAUAGCGUAUAUUAAAGUUGUUGCAGUUAAAAAGCUCGUAGUUGAAUUUCGGGGUCAGUAGGUUGGUCAUGCCACAGGUAUGUACUGAUCUUACUGAUUCCUCCUUCCUGAUGAACCGUAAUGCCAUUAAUUUGGUGUUGCGGGGAAACUGGACUGUUACUUUGAAAAAAUUAGAGUGUUUAAAGCAGGCUAACGCUUGAAUACAUUAGCAUGGAAUAAUGAAAUAGGACGUUCGAUCCUAUUUUGUUGGUUUCUAGGAUUGACGUAAUGAUUAAUAGGGAUAGUUGGGGGCAUUAGUAUUCAAUUGUCAGAGGUGAAAUUCUUGGAUUUAUUGAAGACUAACUACUGCGAAAGCAUUUGCCAAGGAUGUUUUCA
Molecule: ribosomal RNA, 381 nt
Filed under: uncultured eukaryote
Lineage: Eukaryota
Description: SSU rRNA
Rfam family: Eukaryotic small subunit ribosomal RNA
Source: RNAcentral